RNAcentral lists this ribosomal RNA (159 nucleotides) under Hebeloma helodes icg 13. Its description in RNAcentral is "5.8S ribosomal RNA". It matches the Rfam family "5.8S ribosomal RNA". Rfam says of the family: 5.8S ribosomal RNA (5.8S rRNA) is a component of the large subunit of the eukaryotic ribosome. Lineage: Eukaryota; Fungi; Basidiomycota; Agaricomycetes; Agaricales; Hymenogastraceae. RNAcentral also lists the same sequence under 1 other name. The record is from RNAcentral.
ACAACUUUCAGCAACGGAUCUCUUGGCUCUCGCAUCGAUGAARAACGCAGCGAAAUGCGAUAAGUAAUGUGAAUUGCAGAAUUCAGUGAAUCAUCGAAUCUUUGAACGCACCUUGCGCUCCUUGGUAUUCCGAGGAGCAUGCCUGUUUGAGUGUCAUUA